This 231-nucleotide ribosomal RNA is filed under the name uncultured bacterium. Its description in RNAcentral is "partial 16S ribosomal RNA". It matches the Rfam family "Bacterial small subunit ribosomal RNA", at positions 1260 to 1500 of the family's 1533-position model. The record is from RNAcentral.
ACAUCGGUCCAAUCCUUAAAGUCAUCCUCAGUUCGGACUGGGUCUGCAACCCGACCCCACGAAGCUGGAUUCGCUAGUAAUCGCGCAUCAGCCAUGGCGCGGUGAAUACGUUCCCGGGCCUUGUACACACCGCCCGUCAAGCCAUGAAAGCCGGGGGCGCCUGAAGUCCGUGACCGCGAGGGUCGGCCUAGGGUGAAACCGGUGAUUGGGGCUAAGUCGUAACAAGGUACC